Molecule: long non-coding RNA, 962 nt
Filed under: Homo sapiens (human)
Lineage: Eukaryota; Metazoa; Chordata; Mammalia; Primates; Hominidae
Description: HSALNT0302878
Source: RNAcentral
GAUCUUGCCUGCCUUGGCCUCCCAAAGUGCUCAGAUUACAGGCCACCACACAUGAGCUGAAGCGGCCAGGCUCCUCCCCGCUGCACAAGGUGCGAAAUUCCUGUGGCUCCACCCCAGUCUCUCAGUGUGCAGCUUUCUCCAGAAUUGGGAAAUCCCUCAACCUGGCAAAAGUAUAGCUCAAAUGUGCCUCAGCUACCAUUUCCUGGUGGCAGUCCUCAACCAAUGGGUGCCGGGAAUUGGUGAACAACGCCCCAGCCCCCCAGCCUCCAGAGAAACAAUUCUAAGUGACAUGGAUGAUGAUAACCAGUCUAUGCCCACAGUGAUUAUCAGCUCAGCAAUGUACCCUUUACUGGCUUUUCUCCUUCCAUAUGUCACUAUUCCUGCUCCCUCACUCCUGCUUCCUGGAAUUACCUUCCCAGAAAAACUUCAUUCAGGCAGAAGAAGAGUCAAGGAGACAGAAACGACAAGAGAGGUAGAAGAACAAAGAAAGUUUGCAACAUGGAAAGCCAGGGAGGAGGAAGUUUCAAGAAAGAGUAGGUGAAUCUAUCCCAGCAGCAGCCAGGGUGGGCCUCUGUCCUCGAGCAGCACUGGAGCCAGACUCAGUUCCCGGAUCUUGCAGCCGAGGAGCCUCUCAAGCAUCCACAGCCCCCACCAGUGUGGGGACGGUGGAUCCUGUGGUGGACAUCCCCGGGGAUGUGACUGCCUGAUGGUGGCAGCAACAGCAGCAACAUCUGAGACCACGGAGUGGGGGUCUUUGGCAGAGACCCCAGGGCAGCUGAGGCAGCUGGGCUUCCUCCCAGCUCCAUCAGCCUUUGGGUCCAUGAGAAUCCCUUAUCCUUUACAGCCCUGCCCUGGCUCUGGGAAACUGGGGAUGGCCUCUGUGACCCCCCUUUGAGAGGUGAAGCCAGCUGGACUUCUGGGUCGGGUGGGGACUUGGAGAACUUUUCUGUCUUACAAGAGGA